AUUCAUUGCUUUGACUUGUGUAUUUUCCUUUUUUUCUUAGGUCUUCCCUUGUUCAAGUAUUCCAGGCUUAUGGCUGCACUCACCUGUCUGCAGGCGACCUCUUGCGGGCCGAGAGGGGUCAGGAGGGCAUUGAAUAUGGACAGCUGAUCGGAAGCUACAUCAAGGAUGGCAAGAUUGUUCCUGUGGAGAUCACAAUCAACUUACUGAGGAAGGCGAUGGAGGAAACGAUGCAGCUGGACCAGUCAAAGUUCCGCUUCCUAAUUGAUGGCUUUCUGCGUAACCAAGACAACUUCCAGGGCUGGACCUGUGUCAUGGAGGGGAAGGCUGACGUCCAAUUCGUCCUCUUCUUUGACUACAGCAAUCAGGAUGUGUGUCUCGUGUAUGUUCCUGGUCUGCACUGAAGGGUCCAGACAUACCUGCAGUCAACCUGGCCCGUCAUAGAGCUGAAUGAACAACAGAGGAAAGUAUGCACCGUGGAUGCCUCUCGCAGUGUGUGGAGGAGGUAUUUGCUGAAGUUAAGAGAAUUUAGCAGCUUCCUGUCUAUCCACCGAUGCAAUUAACCCUGCACUAACAGCAAGUUGGGUCUAUUGAGGUUAUGGUUACCACC
Molecule: long non-coding RNA, 607 nt
Organism: Salvelinus namaycush (lake trout)
Lineage: Eukaryota; Metazoa; Chordata; Actinopteri; Salmoniformes; Salmonidae
Exons: 4
Source: RefSeq, a predicted model, not a curated record